AAUUAUCUAAACAUAAGAACCAUAAAUAAAAUAGCAUGCAAUAAUAUCAGAAAGUAACUACCAUAAAUAACUACCAUAAGAGAGACACAAUCCAAUACAAAAAUCAUCUGUUGAUAGCCCUGCCAAGCCUCACCCAACCCCGGGUGAGGAGUACGAAAAACUCUAGGGGCCCCUAUCCUACAACCCUGAUAUUAGACCUCCAGACUUUCCUAUC
RNAcentral lists this long non-coding RNA (214 nucleotides) under Nicotiana benthamiana. Its description in RNAcentral is "long non-coding RNA (NBEN_LNC007271)". Lineage: Eukaryota; Viridiplantae; Streptophyta; Magnoliopsida; Solanales; Solanaceae. The record is from RNAcentral.